UCGGAGUUGCUAGUAAUCCCGAAUCAGCAUGUCGGGGUGAAUGCGUUCCCGGGUCUUGUACACACCGCCCGUCACGCCAUGGGAGUCGGGAGUGCCCAAAGUCGGUGACCUAACCGCAAGGAAGGAGCCGCCUAAGGUAAUGCCGAUGACUGGGGUGAAGUCGUAACAAGGUAUC
This 175-nucleotide ribosomal RNA is filed under the name uncultured bacterium. RNAcentral describes it as "partial 16S ribosomal RNA". It matches the Rfam family "Bacterial small subunit ribosomal RNA", at positions 1326 to 1500 of the family's 1533-position model. The record is from RNAcentral.